This is a long non-coding RNA of Asparagus officinalis (garden asparagus), 519 nucleotides long. RefSeq lists it as uncharacterized. Lineage: Eukaryota; Viridiplantae; Streptophyta; Magnoliopsida; Asparagales; Asparagaceae. The record is from RefSeq and is a predicted model, not a curated record. The transcript has 3 exons.
UAGACGGGGGUAAAAAAAUGGCACCAAAAAAUUUCUCCCUGAUCUCCUCCACGAUCAAACCCGCAUUCCCCAAAUCCAAAUCGUUUCCCUCUGAAACCCCAACCCUAGCGGCCUAGCCCAAUUUCCAGGCCCAAACCCUCUCUUUUCCCGCCAAAAUCCCCUCCCAUUUCCCCUUCAGCAUUCUCUUCUUCAUCCCCCAAUUGUUGUUCAAAUAUUUUGCUGAUUGGGUCUGAACAACCAAAGGGCUUAAUACCGCCAGCAGCAAUGUUGAGGGUGGAGAAAUUAACCCCGUUUAUGUUGUUUGGCUGUCAUUCCCAUUUCAAUUGCUUGAUGUACGCUGCUAUGGAUUUACUUCAUGCACAUUGUAUUAAUAUAUAUCCUAUAUAAGGCGGCGAGGUUCUAAUUUAUACAUCUUGGGUAGAGCGUAUAUGGUUAUUGAAAUGUUCCAAUGAGCUUUGUAUCUGCAUCCUACCAAGAAAAUAUGGAUAAUAAUAAUAAUAAUGAUAUGCAGUGUUUAUA